UCCGGUUUGUCACCGGCAGUCUCGCUAGAGUCCUCGGCAUUACCCGUUAGCAACUAGCGACAGGGGUUGCGCUCGUUAAUGGACUUAACCAAACACUUCACAGCACGAGCUGACGACAGCCAUGCAGCACCUGUGCACGUUGUACCCUUGCGGGCCUUACUCCUGUUUCCAGGAGCUAAUCCGUGCAUGUCAAACCCAGGUAAGGUUCUUCGCGUUGCUUCGAAUUAAGCAACAUGCUCCACCGCUUGUGCGGGCCCCCGUCAAUUCCUUUGAGUUUUAAUCUUGCGACCGUAAUCCC
RNAcentral lists this unclassified non-coding RNA (298 nucleotides) under uncultured Phycisphaeraceae bacterium. RNAcentral's name for it is "contains 16S-23S intergenic spacer region". The record is from RNAcentral. Lineage: Bacteria; Pseudomonadati; Planctomycetota; Phycisphaerae; Phycisphaerales; Phycisphaeraceae.